RNAcentral lists this ribosomal RNA (408 nucleotides) under uncultured bacterium. RNAcentral's name for it is "bacterial SSU rRNA". It matches the Rfam family "Bacterial small subunit ribosomal RNA", at positions 917 to 1322 of the family's 1533-position model. The record is from RNAcentral.
GGGCCUGCACAAGCGGUGGAGUAUGUGGCUUAAUUCGAUGCAACGCGAAGAACCUUACCUGGCCUUGACAUGCAUCUCUAAGUGUGUGAAAGCCAUGACCCCUCGGGGAAUUUGCACAGGUGCUGCAUGGCUGUCGUCAGCUCGUGUCGUGAGAUGUUGGGUUAAGUCCCGCAACGAGCGCAACCCUUAUGUUUUGUUGCCACUUUCGCUUCGGCGGAAAGCACUCUAAACAGACUGCCUCGUCUCAACGAGGAGGAAGGUGGGGAUGACGUCAAGUCAGUAUGGCCCUUACGGCCAGGGCUGCACACGUACUACAAUGCCCAGUACAAUGGGAAGCAAUACCGCGAGGUGGAGCAAAUCCUCAAAACUGGGCCCAGUUCAGAUUGUAGUCUGCAACUCGACUACAUG